Molecule: long non-coding RNA, 277 nt
Organism: Prionailurus viverrinus (fishing cat)
Lineage: Eukaryota; Metazoa; Chordata; Mammalia; Carnivora; Felidae
Exons: 3
Source: RefSeq, a predicted model, not a curated record
CGGUGCUGGUCAGCAUGCCGUGACCAAGCGGAGAGGACUCCCGGAGCAGCCGUCUCAGACACAAGGGUGGACACGCUUUACGGUUGAUAAUGUAUCAUCAGAUAGGAUGUUGGCCCGAGGACGUAUACGGUUUCAGGAACACACAUUUCACAUUUGCCGAAGCACACGGGCCUAGCUUCAGAGCAUCUUAAAAGACUGAUGUCCUGCCAAAUAUGCUGACAUACUUUAGGCAAUACUGGCCUAAUCUCUACCUAACAACCCGCUUGGAUUGAAUUGC